This 287-nucleotide ribosomal RNA is filed under the name Musca domestica (house fly). RNAcentral describes it as "partial large subunit ribosomal RNA". The record is from RNAcentral. Lineage: Eukaryota; Metazoa; Arthropoda; Insecta; Diptera; Muscidae.
CUGGUAUGAAAGGUUUGACGAGAUAUUAACUGUUUCAUAAAAAUUUAUAAUAGAAUUUUAUUUUUUAGUCAAAAAGCUAAAAUAAAUUUAAAAGACGAGAAGACCCUAUAAAUCUUUAUAUUUAGAUAAUUACAAUUUUGUGGAUUUUUUUUGUUGUGAUUGUUGAUAAUAUUUUAUUGGGGUGAUAUUAAAAUUUAAAAAACUUUUAAUUAAUUAAAUCAUUAAUUUAUGAAUAAUUGAUCCGUUAUUAACGAUUAAAAAUUUAAGUUACCUUAGGGAUAACAGCG